This 515-nucleotide ribosomal RNA is filed under the name uncultured bacterium. RNAcentral's name for it is "partial 16S ribosomal RNA". It matches the Rfam family "Bacterial small subunit ribosomal RNA", at positions 28 to 523 of the family's 1533-position model. The record is from RNAcentral.
GAUGAACGCUGGCGGCGUGCCUAAUACAUGCAAGUCGAGCGAAUGGAUUAAGAGCUUGCUCUUAUGAAGUUAGCGGCGGACGGGUGAGUAACACGUGGGUAACCUGCCCAUAAGACUGGGAUAACUCCGGGAAACCGGGGCUAAUACCGGAUAAUAUUUUGAACUGCAUGGUUCAAAAUUGAAAGGCGGCUUCGGCUGUCACUUAUGGAUGGACCCGCGUCGCAUGAGCUAGUUGGUGAGGUAACGGCGCACCAAGGCAACGAUGCGUAGCCGACCUGAGAGGGUGAUCGGCCACACGGGGACUGAGACACGGCCCAGACUCCUACGGGAGGCAGCAGUAGGGAAUCUUCCGCAAUGGACGAAAGUCUGACGGAGCAACGCCGCGUGAGUGAUGAAGGCUUUCGGGUCGUAAAACUCUGUUGUUAGGGAAGAACAAGUGCUAGUUGAAUAAGCUGGCACCUUGACGGUACCUAACCAGAAAGCCACGGCUAACUACGUGCCAGCCGCCGCCGUAA